Molecule: ribosomal RNA, 423 nt
Filed under: uncultured bacterium
Lineage: Bacteria
Description: partial 16S ribosomal RNA
Rfam family: Bacterial small subunit ribosomal RNA
Source: RNAcentral
AACUUUCCGCAAUGGACAAAUGUCUGACGGAGCAACGCCGUGUGAGUGAUGAAGGUCUUCGGAACGUUAAACUCUGUUGCUAGGGAAGAAUAAGUAUAGUUCUAAUAGGGUGGUACUUUGACGGUACUUAACUAGAAAGCCACGGCUAACUACGUUCCAGCAUCCGCGUUAAUACGUAGGUGGCAAACGUUAUCCGGAAUUAUUGGGCGUAAAGCGCGCGCAGGCGGUUUCUUAAGGUUGAUGUGAAAGCCCACGGCUCAGCCGUGGAGGGUCAUUGGAAACUGGGAAGCUUGAGUACAGAAAAGGAGAGUGGAAUUCCAUGUGUAGCGGUGAAAUGCGAAGAGAUAUGGAGGAACACCAGUGGCGAAGGCGACUCUCUAGUCUACAACUGACGCUGAGACGCGAAAGCAUGGGGAGCGAACA